Molecule: ribosomal RNA, 229 nt
Filed under: uncultured bacterium
Lineage: Bacteria
Description: partial 16S ribosomal RNA
Rfam family: Bacterial small subunit ribosomal RNA
Source: RNAcentral
UACGUAGGUGGCAAGCGUUGUCCGGAUUUACUGGGCGUAAAGAGCGCGCAGGCGGUCGUUUCAAAGUCGCGUGUGAAAGCCCCCGGCUCAACUGGGGAGGGUCACGCGAUACUGAUCGACUCGAAGGCAGGAGAGGGUAGUGGAAUUCCCGGUGUAGUGGUGAAAUGCGUAGAUAUCGGGGAGGACACCUGUGGCGAAGGCGGCUUUCUGGGCCUUACCUGGACGCGUG